Ursus americanus (American black bear) is the source of this 103-nucleotide small nuclear RNA. Lineage: Eukaryota; Metazoa; Chordata; Mammalia; Carnivora; Ursidae. The record is from Ensembl.
CUACUUGGGCAGCACAUAUACUGAAAUCAGAACCAUACCGAGAAGAUGAGCGUGCACCUUGUGCGCGGAUGACACGCCAGUUUGCAGAGCGUUCCGUAUUUAA